Bactrocera dorsalis (oriental fruit fly) is the source of this 974-nucleotide RNA transcript. It is a transcript of the gene named phospholipase A2, with no coding region annotated. Lineage: Eukaryota; Metazoa; Arthropoda; Insecta; Diptera; Tephritidae. The record is from RefSeq and is a predicted model, not a curated record. The transcript has 3 exons.
CAGUGUUAUUUACCUCUGAGGUCAUUAUGUUUUCGUAACAAUCUGAGACUUACAGCUGACUUGGAUUAUGAAAAUUUUGCACUUAAAAUUUAGUUUAUUAAAAGCUCAUAAAGAAGCAUGAUUAAAUUGCAAAAUUUUAUCAUCACGCUUCUUCUGGCUGCAGUCGUUGUUGCAUUUCAAGAGGAGUCAAUAUUCGAAGAUGAAGAUAUUUACAAUCAAGCAUUACCAUCAGUUCCCUUCACCGGUAUAACCGUACCAGGUACAAAAUGGUGCGGACCUGGAAAUACUGCAGCCAAUUAUAAUGAUUUAGGAACUCAACGUGAGUCUGACACAUGCUGUAGGCAGCAUGAUCAUUGUGAAGAAAUACUGGAGUCAAGACAAACUUUACAUGGACUUAAUAACACCGAUUUAUUUCCUAUCAUGAAAUGUACUUGUGAACAAACUUUCUUGAACUGCCUACAAUCUAUUAAUGAUAUGGUCGCAAAUACAUUGGGACGUGUCUACUUUGGUACUCGCAAUAAAUGUUUCGCUAAUGGAUAUCCAAUAGUAAGUUGCAAAGAGUAUCAAAAAGGAACUUUUAGGCAGCGUUGCAUACGUUACCAAGUGGAUAAAACACGGCCAAAAAUUUGGCAGUUCUAUGAUAUACCAUUUUAUAGCUAUAAACGAUAGCCUUUGUUUUGAACAUAUGAAUUUUAAAUUAAAUUAAUGAAUGCAUAAAGAAAUAAAGGAUGUUUACUCAGUAUUAAAGUUCGCUAUAAUUUAGACGUACACACUUACACAAAAUACUCAACUUUGGCAUAUAGUACAUAUUAUCAUCUGAGGCAUCGCUACAAUAUCAACACAUAUUCAGAUUGGAUCAUUGUAGCUUAAGGAGCUAUUCAAACUGACCGAUCAUUAUCAUAAUAAAGACAAGAAAGCCGACAUUCGCAGUCGAAGUUAACAUUUAGUAUUGUUUGUUAUCUAUGCAUAUACUU